Molecule: ribosomal RNA, 857 nt
Filed under: Triticum aestivum (bread wheat)
Lineage: Eukaryota; Viridiplantae; Streptophyta; Magnoliopsida; Poales; Poaceae
Description: partial small subunit ribosomal RNA
Source: RNAcentral
AAUUUGUAGUCUGAUUCGUGAAGUAGGAGCAAGGGUUGUUCCUACUACUGCCACCAUGUAUAAAUAUAUACUUGUUAAUUUCAUUUAACUAUUUUUUUCUGUCACAAAUAAUAGUACUAUGCUGGUCAAGUGGGCAGCGUAUAGAAUCGUCUUGCACAGAAGUAACACGGAUAAUAUAAUCAAUGGGUUUAUGAUAGAAAAUCAUUUCUGUAUAUCCUGAAUGAAUAUAAACGAUGCAUGAUUAUUUCAAGUUGCACUUUCCUAUCUAUUAUCUCAUUGUUUAUCAAGUAUUUUCAUGUUUCAUAGUCCACUACAUUACAAUGGGUUUAUAUGGCCUCAACUACUGCUGCUAUAGUAGGAGUUCUGUGAUGUGUGUUUCGUCACUUUGUCAUUUGACACACUUUUCUUUGGGUUAAUUUUAAGCAACCUCAUGUUUAAUCUUGUUUUAUAGUAGAUACAAUGUUAUUCUCAUUUGUAGGCACUACAAGAUUUAAGAAUUCUGGACAUGUAAUUCAUUUUUAUAUUUGUUGCAAUUUUCUUAUUUCUACUAUCUAUCCAUAUGUGCAAAUAUCUAAUAUUCUUGUUAAUAUGCUAGGUAAGAUUGGAUACUGUGCUACUUGGUGCUGCCCAUCACGGCAUGAUCGUUGCCAUCAAGAACGUCGAUGGCAAGAGCUUGAAUAACAGCCUCGAUAGUUUAUAUGUUCUGUUGAUGUAAAAUGGAUUGUACUGGUUCAUAACUCUGUUGUGUGAUAUAUUUUGUCAAUCUAUGAUGUAUGUCAUCACUUUGUAGAUGAUUUUUUAAAUUGCUGUGUUGUAGAUACAUACAGAUGGCUAUGUUAAACUUUGUAAUGUUUCAC